This 265-nucleotide long non-coding RNA is filed under the name Physcomitrium patens. RNAcentral describes it as "long non-coding RNA (PPAT_LNC008768)". Lineage: Eukaryota; Viridiplantae; Streptophyta; Bryopsida; Funariales; Funariaceae. The record is from RNAcentral.
UACACUGGAACCUCCACUCACUCUUCCAUCAAUAUAAUUGUCGAUUCACAAAUAAAAGCGACGGCUUUAGCCACAUUGCUCCAAAUCGAGGAAAAAACAAAAACUCCUUCAACUCCAGAUCCCAGAGCGUUCAGCAUCCAAGAAAAUAAAAACGGAACAAUCACACAACCCGUCUUUGGACCUCUUUACUGCCACUAGAUUUUCAGCUCCUUCCUCGCAUAGAAGAAAAAACUAAACAACCAGAUCUGAUCACUGCAUCACCGUC